Molecule: long non-coding RNA, 1017 nt
Organism: Dalotia coriaria
Lineage: Eukaryota; Metazoa; Arthropoda; Insecta; Coleoptera; Staphylinidae
Exons: 4
Source: RefSeq, a predicted model, not a curated record
AUUCAUGAAAAUUUUGCAAGUUGUGUUAUUGUUGUGUUAAAAUAAAUCACGUACUAAUUGAACAACUACAAUAAGUUAUAAUUAGUGUGUAAAUGGAUUGUGCAAAUAAAUGACUACAUCUUGCAGAUUAAGAUCUCAGCCAGUGCCACGGUUCGUAGUUUUUUCGGAGUUCCUAGCUUAUACAGCUUUUACCAACGACGACGGUACCGUCCAGUAGACAGACCAGUCGAGAGCCCCGUGCGAGCGUAUUCAUAGACCAGGAUAGACUAGAAUAUCGGGUUGAAAGCAAGCAAAGAAAGCCGAGGGAAGAGAGGACGACCGGCACACACGAGAUGUCCAUUACCUUAAUGCAGUGUUCUCGUCGUUUGCUUCCACUCUGAUUAAUAUUGCAUUCCGCGCAGGACGAGAACGGACCCGAACAUCUCAACUCGAGAAACUACACCACUACACCGGAGCUUUUCGGGACGGAUGAUGGAACGCGACAGGAGUGUAACUUUCGUGUGGUGUCUUCGGUGUCCUGAUGCAUGUUACAUGUGUUAAGGACGAUUUCAAGUAUGAUAAUGACACCAGACAUGACGCGCGCUUUGACCUUUCUGCCCCUUUGAUGCUGUGAGAUGCACGCAAGCGCUUCUUUUUUCAGAUCUUUUGGCAGAGUGCUAAAGUCGUUGAGUUAAAGUGACGUCUUCAACCCUUCUAAGUCUUCCGUUUUUAUUUCUACUGCGACCAUUUUGUAUUUGCAUAGUGUAGGUACCGCUGUUUUUACACAGGUUUGCUCGUGUUUGUAAAGAGACAUGUAGCACAUAUAUAAGUUACGUGUGGGGUGACCAAACGCGCACUCCAAACAUCAUGAAACAUGAAACGCCGCCGGCGCACGUCAGGGGGGGGGCGGCGGUGUUAAAGAUUACGUGAGGCAUCUCUUCAAGGCGAGGGCGCAAAAAGUGAUGUGUGUCCGAACUGUCUGACUUACUUAGGAAGGUAAGAGCCUACAAAUAAAAUCUUGAGUGAAAAUAAAAUGUG